GAAGGGGACUAGCGUUGUCCGGAAUUACUGGGCGUAAAGUGUACGUAGGCGGAUUAUUAAGUUAGAGGUGAAAUCCCAAGGCUCAACCUUGGAACUGCCUUUAAUACUGAUAAUCUUGAGACCGAGAGAGGUGAGUGGAAUUUCUAGUGUAGAGGUGGAAUUCGUAGAUAUUAGAAAGAACACCAGUGGCGAAGGCGGCUCACUGGCUCGGUACUGACGCUGAGGUACGAAAGCGUGGGGAGCAAACAGGAUUAGAUACCCUGGUAGUCCACGCCGUAAACGAUGGAUGCUAGCUGUUGGGUAGUGUACCAUUCAGUAGCGCAGCUAACGCAUUAAGCAUCCCCGCCUGGGGAGUACGAUCGCAAGAUUA
This 370-nucleotide ribosomal RNA is filed under the name uncultured organism. RNAcentral describes it as "partial 16S ribosomal RNA". It matches the Rfam family "Bacterial small subunit ribosomal RNA", at positions 527 to 896 of the family's 1533-position model. The record is from RNAcentral.